RNAcentral lists this ribosomal RNA (544 nucleotides) under Anthracocystis elionuri. Its description in RNAcentral is "LSU rRNA". It matches the Rfam family "Eukaryotic large subunit ribosomal RNA", at positions 62 to 607 of the family's 3401-position model. The record is from RNAcentral. Lineage: Eukaryota; Fungi; Basidiomycota; Ustilaginomycetes; Ustilaginales; Ustilaginaceae.
AAACUAACAAGGAUUCCCCUAGUAACGGCGAGUGAAGAGGGAAGAGCCCAAGAUUGAAAGCUGGCGUUUUCGGCGUCCGCAUUGUAAUCUCAAGAAGUGUUUUCCGCUUCGGACCAUGCCUAAGUCCCUUGGAAAAGGGCAUCAUAGAGGGUGAUAAUCCCGUACAUGGCAUGGAGCGCCCGAGGCUUUGUGAUACGCUUUCUAAGAGUCGAGUUGUUUGGGAAUGCAGCUCAAAAUGGGUGGUAAAUGCCAUCUAAGGCUAAAUAUUGGGGAGAGACCGAUAGCGAACAAGUACAGUGAUGGAAAGAUGAAAAGAACUUUGAAAAGAGAGUUAAACAGUACGUGAAAUUGCCAAAAGGGAAGGGUAGGAGGUCAGAGAUGCGUCUUGGGAUUCAGCCUUGCUUUUGCUUGGUGUUUUUCCCAAGUUGCAGGCCAACGUCGGUUUUGGGCACUGGAGAAGGGUGGAAGGAACGUGGCACCUCUCGGGGUGUGUUAUAGCCUUCUACUGGAUACAGCGACCGAGACCGAGGACAGCAGCGUACUC